UUAAGCGACUAAGCGUACACGGUGGAUGCCUAGGCAGUCAGAGGCGAUGAAGGGCGUGCUAAUCUGCGAUAAGCGUCGGUAAGCUGAUAUGAAGCGUUAUACCCGACGAUACCCGAAUGGGGAAACCCAGUGUGUUUCGACACACUAUCAUUACGUGAAUACAUAGCGUAAUGAGGCGAACCGGGGGAACUGAAACAUCUCAGUACCCCGAGGAAAAGAAAUCAACCGAGAUUCCCCUAGUAGCGGCGAGCGAACGGGGAGGAGCCCAGAACCUAAAUCAGUUUGUGUGUUAGUGGAAGCGUCUGGAAAGUCGCACAGUAAAGGGUGAUAGUCCCGUACACAAAAAUGCACAGAUUGUGAGUUCGAUGAGUAGGGCGGGACACGUGACAUCCUGUCUGAAUAUGGGGGGACCAUCCUCCAAGGCUAAAUACUCCUGACUGACCGAUAGUGAACCAGUACCGUGAGGGAAAGGCGAAAAGAACCCCGGCGAGGGGAGUGAAAUAGAACCUGAAACCGUGUACGUACAAGCAGUGGGAGCCUUGAUUAAUCAGGGUGACUGCGUACCUUUUGUAUAAUGGGUCAGCGACUUAUAUUCUGUAGCAAGGUUAACCGUAUAGGGGAGCCGUAGGGAAACCGAGUCUUAACUGGGCGUUAAGUUGCAGGGUAUAGACCCGAAACCCGGUGAUCUAGCCAUGGGCAGGUUGAAGGUUGGGUAACACUAACUGGAGGACCGAACCGACUAAUGUUGAAAAAUUAGCGGAUGACUUGUGGCUGGGGGUGAAAGGCCAAUCAAACCGGGAGAUAGCUGGUUCUCCCCGAAAGCUAUUUAGGUAGCGCCUCGUGAAUUCAUCUUCGGGGGUAGAGCACUGUUUCGGCUAGGGGGUCAUCCCGACUUACCAACCCGAUGCAAACUACGAAUACCGAAGAAUGUUAUCACGGGAGACACACGGCGGGUGCUAACGUUCGUCGUGAAGAGGGAAACAACCCAGACCGCCAGCUAAGGUCCCAAAGUCAUGGUUAAGUGGGAAACGAUGUGGGAAGGCACAGACAGCCAGGAUGUUGGCUUAGAAGCAGCCAUCAUUUAAAGAAAGCGUAAUAGCUCACUGGUCGAGUCGGCCUGCGCGGAAGAUGUAACGGGGCUAAACCAUGCACCGAAGCUGCGGCAGCGACACUUAGGUGUUGUUGGGUAGGGGAGCGUUCUGUAAGCCGUCGAAGGUGACCUGUGAGGGUUGCUGGAGGUAUCAGAAGUGCGAAUGCUGACAUAAGUAACGAUAAUGCGGGUGAAAAACCCGCACGCCGGAAGACCAAGGGUUCCUGUCCAACGUUAAUCGGGGCAGGGUGAGUCGACCCCUAAGGCGAGGCUGAAAAGCGUAGUCGAUGGGAAACAGGUUAAUAUUCCUGUACUCGGUGUUACUGCGAAGGGGGGACGGAGAAAGCUAGGUUAUCCGGGCGACGGUUGUCCCGGUUUAAGCGUGAAGGUGGAUGACUUUGGUAAAUCCGGGUCGUCAUUAACACUGAGGCGUGAUGACGAGUCACUACGGUGAUGAAGUAACCAAUGCUACGCUUCCAGGAAAAGCCUCUAAGCUCCAGGUAACAUCAAAUCGUACCCCAAACCGACACAGGUGGUCAGGUAGAGAAUACUCAGGCGCUUGAGAGAACUCGGGUGAAGGAACUAGGCAAAAUGGUGCCGUAACUUCGGGAGAAGGCACGCUGAUGGUAGGUGAAGUGACUUGCUCACGGAGCUGAAAUCAGUCGAAGAUACCAGCUGGCUGCAACUGUUUAAUAAAAACACAGCACUGUGCAAACACGAAAGUGGACGUAUACGGUGUGACGCCUGCCCGGUGCCGGAAGGUUAAUUGAUGGGGUCAGCCGCAAGGCGAAGCUCUUGAUCGAAGCCCCGGUAAACGGCGGCCGUAACUAUAACGGUCCUAAGGUAGCGAAAUUCCUUGUCGGGUAAGUUCCGACCUGCACGAAUGGCGUAAUGAUGGCCAGGCUGUCUCCACCCGAGACUCAGUGAAAUUGAACUCGCUGUGAAGAUGCAGUGUACCCGCGGCAAGACGGAAAGACCCCGUGAACCUUUACUAUAGCUUGACACUGAACCUUGAGCCUUGAUGUGUAGGAUAGGUGGGAGGCUUUGAAGCGUGGACGCCAGUCUGCGUGGAGCCAACCUUGAAAUACCACCCUUUAAUGUUUGAUGUUCUAACGUGGGCCCGUGAUCCGGGUUGCGGACAGUGUCUGGUGGGUAGUUUGACUGGGGCGGUCUCCUCCCAAAGCGUAACGGAGGAGCACGAAGGUUAGCUAAUCCUGGUCGGACAUCAGGAGGUUAGUGCAAAGGCAUAAGCUAGCUUGACUGCGAGAGUGACAGCUCGAGCAGGUGCGAAAGCAGGUCUUAGUGAUCCGGUGGUUCUGAAUGGAAGGGCCAUCGCUCAACGGAUAAAAGGUACUCCGGGGAUAACAGGCUGAUACCGCCCAAGAGUUCAUAUCGACGGCGGUGUUUGGCACCUCGAUGUCGGCUCAUCACAUCCUGGGGCUGAAGUAGGUCCCAAGGGUAUGGCUGUUCGCCAUUUAAAGUGGUACGCGAGCUGGGUUUAGAACGUCGUGAGACAGUUCGGUCCCUAUCUGCCGUGGGCGUUGGAAGAUUGAGAGGGGUUGCUCCUAGUACGAGAGGACCGGAGUGAACGCACCACUGGUGUUCGGGUUGUGAUGCCAAUUGCAUUGCCCGGUAGCUAAGUGCGGAAGAGAUAACCGCUGAAAGCAUCUAAGCGGGAAACUUGCCUCGAGAUGAGUCUUCCCUGGGCACUAGAUGCCCCUGAAGGGCCGUUGAAGACUACGACGUAGAUAGGCUGGGUGUGUAAGCGUAGCGAUACGUUGAGCUAACCAGUACUAAUGACCCGAGAGGCUUAACCUU
This 2908-nucleotide ribosomal RNA is filed under the name Pectobacterium carotovorum. RNAcentral describes it as "bacterial LSU rRNA". It matches the Rfam family "Bacterial large subunit ribosomal RNA". Lineage: Bacteria; Pseudomonadati; Pseudomonadota; Gammaproteobacteria; Enterobacterales; Pectobacteriaceae. RNAcentral also lists the same sequence under 1 other name. The record is from RNAcentral.